Molecule: long non-coding RNA, 1025 nt
Filed under: Citrus x clementina
Lineage: Eukaryota; Viridiplantae; Streptophyta; Magnoliopsida; Sapindales; Rutaceae
Description: Citrus clementina (C. clementina) long non-coding RNA (CCLE_LNC004994)
Source: RNAcentral
AAGGCCGGGGCGCCAAGUUGUUCAGCGGUAAAAGGCCACAAAAACGGGUGGGCUAUAGCCUUGGGGGGUGGGGCUGGCCCACUUCGUCCGCCGGACUCGGCAGGCCGCGAGACUUUGCGAGGGGCCUCCGUGUGCCAAAAAUAGGCCGUGGGCAAACCACGCCCAAAAAUAACCGCCCGAAGGCCGGGACGUCAAGUUCGUCCAGCGGAAAAAGGCCACAAAAACGGGUGGGCUAUAGCCUUGGGGGGUGGGGCUGGCCAACUUCGUCCGCCGUAGUCGGAAUGCCGCGAGACUUUGCGAGGGGCCUCCGUGUCCCAAAAAUAGGCCGCGGAUGAAGCCGCACCCAAAAAUAACCGCCCGAAGGCCGGGUCGCCAUGUUCAUCCAGCGGAAAAAGGCCACAAAAACGGGUGGGCUAUAGCCUUGGGGGGUGGGGCUGGCCGACUUCGUCCGCCGGACUCAGAAUGCCGUGAGACUUUGCGACGGGCCUCCGUGUGCCAAAAAUAGGCCGCGGGCAAAGGCGCACCCAAAAAUAACCGCCCGAAGGCCGGGGCGCCAAGUUCGUCCGGCGGAAAAAGGCCAGAAAAACGGGUGGGCUAUAGCCUUGGGGGGUGGGGCUGGCCAUCUUCGUCCGCCGGACUCGGAAUGCCGUGAGACUUUGCGAGGGAUCUCCGUGUGCCAUAAAUAAUCCGCGGGCAAAACCGCGCCUAAAAAUAACCGCCCGAAGGGUCCAGCGGAAAAAGGCCACAAAAACGGGUGGGCUAUAGCCUUGGGGGGUGGGGCUGGCCAACUUCGUCUGCCGGACUCGGAAUGCCACGAGACUUUGCGAGGGGCCUCCAUGUCCCAAAAAUAGGCCGCGGGCAAAGCCGCGCCCAAAAAUAACCACCCGAAGGCCGGGUCUCCAAGUUCGUCCAGCGGAAAAAGGCCACAUAAACGGGUGGGCUAUAGCCUUGGGGGGUGGGGCUGGCCGACUUCGUCCGCCGGACUCAGAAUGCCGCGAGACUUUGCGACGGGCCUCCGUGUGCCA